RNAcentral lists this ribosomal RNA (253 nucleotides) under uncultured bacterium. RNAcentral's name for it is "partial 16S ribosomal RNA". It matches the Rfam family "Bacterial small subunit ribosomal RNA", at positions 524 to 776 of the family's 1533-position model. The record is from RNAcentral.
UACGGGGGGGGUAAGCGUUGUUCGGAAUUACUGGGCGUAAAGGGCUCGUAGGCGGCCAACUAAGUCAUACGUGAAAUCCCUCAGCUUAACCUGGGAACUGCGUCUGAUACUGGAUGGCUUGAAUUCGGGAGAGGGAUGCAGAAUUCCAGGUGUAGCGGUGAAAUGCGUAGAUAUCUGGAGGAAUACCGGUGGCGAAGGCGGCAUCCUGGACCGAGAUUGACACUGAUGAGCGAAAGCCAGGGGAGCAAACGGG